RNAcentral lists this ribosomal RNA (389 nucleotides) under uncultured bacterium. Its description in RNAcentral is "bacterial SSU rRNA". It matches the Rfam family "Bacterial small subunit ribosomal RNA", at positions 30 to 417 of the family's 1533-position model. The record is from RNAcentral.
AUUGAACGCUGGCGGCGUGCCUAACACAUGCAAGUCGAGCGGUAACAGGUGUAGCAAUACAUGCUGACGAGCGGCGAACGGGUGAGUAAUGCUUCGGAAUCUGCCCAUGUAGUGGGGAAUAACCAGCCGAAAGGUUGGCUAAUACCGCAUACGACCUACGGGUGAAAGCAGGGGAUCGCAAGACCUUGCGCUAUUGGAUGAGCCGAAGUCGGAUUAGCUGUUGGUAGGGUAACGGCCUACCAAGGCGACGAUCCGUAGCUGGUCUGAGAGGACGACCAGCCACACUGGGACUGAGACACGGCCCAGACUCCUACGGGAGGCAGCAGUGGGGAAUAUUGGACAAUGGGGCGAACCCUGAUCCAGCGACGCCGCGUGUGUGAAGAAGGCCU